This 475-nucleotide ribosomal RNA is filed under the name uncultured bacterium. RNAcentral describes it as "bacterial SSU rRNA". It matches the Rfam family "Bacterial small subunit ribosomal RNA", at positions 1028 to 1504 of the family's 1533-position model. The record is from RNAcentral.
UCAGAGACAGGUGCUGCAUGGCUGUCGUCAGCUCGUGUCGUGAGAUGUUGGGUUAAGUCCCGCAACGAGCGCAACCCUCGCCUUUAGUUGCCAUCAUUCAGUUGGGCACUCUAGAGGGACCGCCGGCGACAAGCCGGAGGAAGGUGGGGAUGACGUCAAGUCCUCAUGGCCCUUACACCCUGGGCUACACACGUGCUACAAUGGCGGUGACAGUGGGCAGCUACUUCGCGAGAAGCGGCUAAUCCCAAAAAACCGUCCCAGUUCAGAUUGUACUCUGCAACUCGAGUACAUGAAGGUGGAAUCGCUAGUAAUCGCAGAACAGCAGGCUGCGGUGAAUACGUUCCCGGGCCUUGUACACACCGCCCGUCACGGCAUGGGAGUUGGUUCUACCUUAAGACAGUGCGCUAACCGCAAGGGGGCAGCUGGCCACGGUAGGAUCAGCGACUGGGCCGAAGUCGUAAUCAAGGUAGCCGUA